This 492-nucleotide ribosomal RNA is filed under the name uncultured bacterium. RNAcentral's name for it is "partial 16S ribosomal RNA". It matches the Rfam family "Bacterial small subunit ribosomal RNA", at positions 29 to 507 of the family's 1533-position model. The record is from RNAcentral.
AUUGAACGCUGGCGGCAUGCUUUACACAUGCAAGUCGAACGGUAACAGGCCUUCGGGUGCUGACGAGUGGCGCACGGGUGAGUAAUGCAUCGGAACGUACCCAGAGGUGGGGGAUAACGCAGCGAAAGCUGUGCUAAUACCGCAUGUGAUCUGAGGAUGAAAGCGGGGGACCGAGCAGCAAUGUUUGGCCUCGCGCCUUUGGAGCGGCCGAUGUCGGAUUAGCUAGUUGGUGGGGUAAAGGCCUACCAAGGCGACGAUCCGUAGCUGGUCUGAGAGGACGACCAGCCACACUGGGACUGAGGCACGGCCCAGACUCCUACGGGAGGCAGCAGUGGGGAAUUUUGGACAAUGGGCGCAAGCCUGAUCCAGCAAUGCCGCGUGCGGGAAGAAGGCCUUCGGGUUGUAAACCGCUUUUGGCAGGAACGAAACGGUGUCCGCUAAUACCGGGCGCUAAUGACGGUACCUGCAGAAUAAGCACCGGCUAACUACGUG